Long non-coding RNA from Callithrix jacchus (white-tufted-ear marmoset), 1843 nucleotides. Lineage: Eukaryota; Metazoa; Chordata; Mammalia; Primates; Cebidae. The record is from Ensembl.
AUGAGUAGCUGGGACCAAAGAGAGGACUCUAGAAACCUGAACCCGCCCCCCUUCAGCUCCCCACUCCCUGGCAAAGGGCUCCAGCUGCUCUGGAUGAUGAGGAAGCCGGGCACCUCUGACAAGCAAGCUGCUGUAGGCACCACCUCAGAACUUCAGGUGUGGGCCACGAUUUUCUGCAUGGCCCCAGCAACUCCUGGAAUCCAUAACCUGACCAGGAACGUCAGAGGUCUUGCAUGCAGGCUGGAGUGCGGUGACACGGUCACAGCUCACUGCAACCUUGACCUACUGGAUUCAAGGGCCUUCCCACCUCAGCUUCUCAAGUAAUUGGGACCACAGGUACAUUCCACCAACCCAUUUAUUUUUAUUUUUAUUUGUGUAAAUGGGGUCUCAUUUUGUCACCCAGGCUGGUUUCAAACUCCUGGCUUCGUGGCAUCUUCUCACCUUGACCUCCCAAGGUGCUGUGAUUGCAGCCAUGAGCCACCAUACCCAGCCCCCUUUCUCUUUAAAAUAUUGGCAUUUGCCAAGAGAUCGAGACCACCCUGGUCAACAUGGUUAAACCCCGUCUCUACUAAAAUACAAAAAUUAUCUGGGCAUGGUGGCGCAUGCCAGUAAUCCCAGCUACUCAGGAAGCUGAGCAGGAGAACUGCCUGAACCCAGGAGGCGGAGGUUGUGGUGAGCCAAAUCACACCAUUGCACUCCAGCCUGGGUAACAAGAGCGAAACUCCGUCUCAAAAAAAAAUGGCAUUUGCAGCCAUGCAUUUUAUUGUGACCACUGGUCUCAUGGCUUCCUACACAUUUGGUAUUUAUCUCAAAGAAUUUUCCAACAUCACUUCUGAUUUCUGCUUUCAUUCGCUGAUUGUUUAGGAGUGUGUUAUUGAUUUUUAUAUAUUCCUGAAUUCAGAUUUGCUUUGUUAUUGAUUUCUACCUUCAUUCUAUUGUAGAGAAGAUACCUUGAUUUUAGUCCUUUUAAAUUAAUGAAAUCUGUUUCAUGGCCUAAGACAUGGUGUAUUCCAGAGAGUAUUCCAGGCGUACUUGAGGAGAUGCUGUAUCCUGUGAGCCUGUUGAAGGUGUUGUCAGGUCUAGCUGAUUCACAGUGUUUUUCAAGUUCUCUACUUCUUUUUUGAUCUUCUGUCUUAUUUCUAGCCAGUAUUGACAGUACAGUAUUGCAAGUAUUACUGGGAAGCCGUCUGUUUCUUCAAUUCCACAGUCACUACUUCAUAGACUGGGGGCUCUGUAGUUAGAUGCACAAGUAUUAAUUGUUAAAUAUAUAAUGUCCUUCUUUCGCUCUUGUAAUAACUUUCAUUGACCUACCCAUCUCUCUUUUCCUUCCUUCUUUGCCUCCUUCCUUCUUUCCUCCCUCCUCCCUCCCUCUCUCCCUCAUUUAAGCUGUUGGCUGGACACAGUGGCUUACAUCUGUAAUUCCGGAAUUGGGGAGGCUAAGGUGGGUGAAGUGCUUGAACCCAGAAGUUUGAGACCAGCCUAGGCGACAUGGCAAAACCGAGUCUCUACAUCUCGACACAAACAAACAAACCUGAAAUUAGCCGGUCAUCUGCAGUCCCAGCUAUGUACUCAGGAAACUAAGGCCAGCGGAUCUGUUGAGUCCUGGAGAUCGAGGCUGCAGUGAGCCACGAUCAUACCACUGCACUCCAGCCUGGGCAACAGAAAGAGACCCUGUCUCAAAAAAUAAUAAAGUACAUAAAUAAAUAAAUAAACUGUUGAUUGGGAGCCGUGUAUGCACCAGGCCCUAAGCGGGGCAUGAUGAGAUGGGAUGAAGAGUCUGGAGACUUGGGAAAGGCUGCACCUCUGGAGGGAGGCCGCAGCUUCUCCUUCAUCAAAGAGGUCC